AUGACCCGAGCCAGAAGCCGGUGGCGGCCCUACUCCACGAGCAGUGCCAGAAGCCAGUGGCGGCGCAUCCCCGGUGCGGCUAGCCCCUGCCGGGACAGCAGGCUUCUUCCCCGGCGGCCCUCCAGCUCCUCGGCCAGUCAUGGCCCCGAGGGGAGGAAUACGCUUAGCGCGGCCAAGACCACAGGAACGGAAGCCGGGCUUCCCUCGCCGAAGAACCCUAGCGCGCCGCGAGAACGAAUGCAUAGUCGAUAUGAUCGACCUGUUGCAUGCGACUGCACAUUCAUUAUCGAUAGAACCCAGACUAGCCUGGGCCUCAUACCCAGCUGUCCCCGGCCCAACGAAUUGCAGAGAAGGUUCAGACAUAACCGGCCCACUACGGCCUAG
Molecule: ribosomal RNA, 384 nt
Filed under: Triticum aestivum (bread wheat)
Lineage: Eukaryota; Viridiplantae; Streptophyta; Magnoliopsida; Poales; Poaceae
Description: partial small subunit ribosomal RNA
Source: RNAcentral